This 250-nucleotide ribosomal RNA is filed under the name uncultured bacterium. RNAcentral describes it as "partial 16S ribosomal RNA". It matches the Rfam family "Bacterial small subunit ribosomal RNA", at positions 524 to 773 of the family's 1533-position model. The record is from RNAcentral.
UACGUAGGGUGCAAGCGUUAUCCGGAAUCAUUGGGCGUAAAGAGUUCGUAGGUGGUUUGGAAAGUUUGUAGUUAAAUCUGGUCGCUCAACGAUCAACUCGCUACAAAAACUCCCAAGCUAGAGAUUGGCAGAGGCAACUGGAAUUCCACAUGUAGGGGUAAAAUCCGUUGAUAUGUGGAGGAACACCAAAAGCGAAGGCAGGUUGCUGGGCCAUUUCUGACACUGAGGAACGAAAGCGUGGGGAGCAAAC